UACGUAGGGUGCAAGCGUUAAUCGGAAUUACUGGGCGUAAAGCGUGCGCAGGCGGUUUUGUAAGACAGUGGUGAAAUCCCCGGGCUCAACCUGGGAACUGCCAUUGUGACUGCAAGGCUGGAGUGCGGAAGAGGGGGAUGGAAUUCCGCGUGUAGCAGUGAAAUGCGUAGAUAUGCGGAGGAACACCGAUGGCGAAGGCAAUCCCCUGGGCCUGCACUGACGCUCAUGCACGAAAGCGUGGGGAGCAAACAGG
Molecule: ribosomal RNA, 253 nt
Filed under: uncultured bacterium
Lineage: Bacteria
Description: partial 16S ribosomal RNA
Rfam family: Bacterial small subunit ribosomal RNA
Source: RNAcentral